AGCAGGAUGGGCUGGGCAGUGGGACAGCCUGUGUGCACAUUUCGUGGCAAGUAGGAAUGACACACCAUCCCUGUGAGGCGCCAUGGUUCCUGCCAAACCUGGCCCCAGAACUCUGUCCCUGAGGUGGUUUUACAAAACCCAAAACCCAGAACUGUGGUUGUGGCUCAGGGGCCAGCACCUGCUAGUACCAGGACACUACUGGGAGGCUGGGACCUGACCAAAGCUCAUGGUGUCUGUUGCCUGAGGACAGGGUGUCUUGGGCCAUAAGGCCAGGCCACCAAUGGCCAUUGGGUCAUAGGGGCUCAGCCCCAGUGUUUGCCCUUCCCUGGCUCCUUCUGGUUCGGUCCUAUCAGGGCCCUGGAGCCCAAGACCCAGCAUCCAAGGUCCCCUCCAGGAAUCCUGGCGGCUCAGCUUACUUUGUCAUGUUUCAUCUGAGAGCAAAAAUGUCAGAUCGGCUGCACAGAAAAAUGGCUCAAAGUACUUAAUGACUAGAAGAAAUCUAGGAGCAGCAAGAAGAUGUCUCGGCUGCUCUACAAGGGAGUCCCAUUUCAGGUGUGGUGCUGGGCAUGGUCACUCCUGCUGAAUGUCUAGAAGGUGAAAACCAAGGACCUAGGGAAAUACCAGGUACAGCCUUUCCACCCUCAUCCAGAGCGGGACAAACAGGCCAGGCGGUGUCAGGAGCACAGGUCUCCAGCUGGAGGGAGUGUCAGCCCUGCAGUAGGAGUCCAUCACGCAUCCUAGGCACAUAUGCUAAUGUAGGUAUCACAGAAGCACUGCUGACUGUUUGGUGGUUCCCAUUUGUGGCAGUGAGCUUUUUUUCCAUCCCGAGGUUGGGCUGGUUUCUCCUCUUGGCCCUGCCCUACAGACCAUAAAGGAGAACAGCAAGAGGCUCCCAGCAAACAUCCACAGAUUGCCCUGGACAUCAGCCACAUUCUGAGAAACAUGUCAUGUUCUGGGAGGGCUAAGGCAUCAAGAAUUCAAGUGACUAUAUUGCCACCAUCUUGGAGCUCACUGCCCUCAGUGUAAUGGCACCAGUAGAUCUGCCUGUGCACAGACUUCCUGUACUACCCACUCUUGAGGGGUGAUGCUUCUGCCUCACCAUAUGCUCAGGCCUAUGACCGGAUGCACAACUUUAGACACCAUCAUCCUGGAGCAGCUCUGCACCCUCACUAGCCAGGGUGUUGACAUCCUCAAGGCCAAGGCCACAUUCAAGACUUUGGAUUUCAUUGAUGCACUUGUCCUGAGCAAACCAUUUUGCAGACCCUGGUCAGAGUGAAACGUUCUAUGGGAACUCGGGCCGUGAGAAGCAUCCUUCCUAACCACCUGACUGUAGAAACAUCCUUAUCACAUCCUCCCGGUCAAAGGCCCAACAGCCUGACUGCAGGAACAUCCUUGCCAUAUCCUGCCGGGCAGCAAGCUCUACCGCCCAGACCCCUCCCUCCCAGUCCCAUGAUUGCCCCAGCCUGUGAGCGGCAGUUGGUGCUGGCACUAAGCUGGUUUCCCCCACCGCAGGGUUUUGCUAGCAAUAAAGGUGUUGUUGUUGAGGCUGC
RNAcentral lists this long non-coding RNA (1550 nucleotides) under Pongo abelii (Sumatran orangutan). Its description in RNAcentral is "lincRNA". Lineage: Eukaryota; Metazoa; Chordata; Mammalia; Primates; Hominidae. The record is from RNAcentral.